This 319-nucleotide unclassified non-coding RNA is filed under the name Ascomycota sp. RNAcentral's name for it is "partial contains small subunit ribosomal RNA, internal transcribed spacer 1, and 5.8S ribosomal RNA". The stretch from base 1 to 47 matches the Rfam family "Eukaryotic small subunit ribosomal RNA", at positions 1785 to 1831 of the family's 1831-position model. The record is from RNAcentral. Lineage: Eukaryota; Fungi; Ascomycota.
AAAGUCGUAACAAGGUCUCCGUUGGUGAACCAGCGGAGGGAUCAUUACCGAGUUUGCUUUUCUAGCUCGAAACCCACUGUGAACAUACCUCUCUACUCGUUGCUUCGGCGGCAGCUCCUUCCGCUGCCCUCUCUCCCUGCCUCCUCUCCGCGCCCCUCUCUCGAGGGUCCUGGGGAUGGGGAGGAAAAGAGGUCUCCCGGGAGGUUCGACCGUCGGAGGGACGCAACCCCCAAACUCUUAUAAACUACUUCUCGAGUAUCUUCUGAGUCGAUAUUUUUUAAAAUUAUCAAAACUUUCAGCAACGGAUCUCUUGGUUCUG